This 301-nucleotide ribosomal RNA is filed under the name uncultured bacterium. RNAcentral's name for it is "partial 16S ribosomal RNA". It matches the Rfam family "Bacterial small subunit ribosomal RNA", at positions 509 to 807 of the family's 1533-position model. The record is from RNAcentral.
CAGUAGCCGCGGUAAAACGAAGGGUGCAAGCGUUACCCGGAAUUACUGGGCGUAAAGCGUGUGUAGGUGGUUGUUUAAGUCUGUCGUGAGAGCCCUGGGCUCAACCUGGGAAUUGCGAUGGAUACUGGGCGACUAGAGUGCGGUAGAGGAUAGUGGAAUUUCCGGUGUAGCAGUGAAAUGCGUAGAGAUCGGAAGGAACAUCUGUGGCGAAGGCGACUAUCUGGGCCAACACUGACACUGAGACACGAAAGCGUGGGGAGCAAACAGGAUUAGAUACCCGAGUAGUCCCUGUCUCUUAUAC